Molecule: transfer RNA, 61 nt
Filed under: Laccoptera ruginosa
Lineage: Eukaryota; Metazoa; Arthropoda; Insecta; Coleoptera; Chrysomelidae
Description: tRNA-Tyr
Rfam family: tRNA
About the family: Transfer RNA (tRNA) molecules are approximately 80 nucleotides in length. Their secondary structure includes four short double-helical elements and three loops (D, anti-codon, and T loops).
Source: RNAcentral
GGUAGAAUGGCUGAUUAAAGCGGUAAAUUGUAAAUUUAUUUAUGGGAUUUUCUCUUCUAUC